UGGGGAAUAUUGCACAAUGGAGGGAACUCUGAUGCAGCGACGCCGCGUGAACGAAGAAGGCUUUCGAGUCGUAAAGUUCUUUUAUAUGGGAAGAUAAUGACGGUACCAUAAGAAAAAGCUCCGGCUAACUACGUGCCAGCAGCCGCGGUAAUACGUAGGUGGCAAGCGUUGUCCGGAAUCAUUGGGCGUAAAGGGUACGUAGGCGGGUAAGCAAGUUAGAAGUGAAAUCCUAUAGCUCAACUAUAGUAAGCUUUUAAAACUGCUCAUCUUUAGGUAUGGAAGUGAAAGUGUAAUUCCUAGUGUAGCGGUGAAAUGCGCAGAUAUUAGGAGGAAUACCGGUGGCGAAGGCGACUUUCUGGCCAUAACCUGACGCUGAGGUACGAAAGCGUGGGGAGCGAACAGG
This 403-nucleotide ribosomal RNA is filed under the name Bacteroidota bacterium. Its description in RNAcentral is "Bacteroidetes bacterium partial 16S ribosomal RNA". It matches the Rfam family "Bacterial small subunit ribosomal RNA", at positions 355 to 776 of the family's 1533-position model. Lineage: Bacteria; Pseudomonadati; Bacteroidota. The record is from RNAcentral.